Molecule: ribosomal RNA, 129 nt
Filed under: uncultured Syndiniales
Lineage: Eukaryota; Dinophyceae; Syndiniales
Description: partial 18S ribosomal RNA
Source: RNAcentral
GGAAACCUUGUUACGACUUCUCCUUCCUCUAAGUGAUAAGGUUCACUAAACUUCCUGAAAUCUCAUCCAGAAUCUGGACGUGACCUCAGUCCGGAUUAUUCACCGGAUCACUCAAUCGGUAGGAGCGAC